Molecule: ribosomal RNA, 271 nt
Filed under: uncultured bacterium
Lineage: Bacteria
Description: partial small subunit ribosomal RNA
Rfam family: Bacterial small subunit ribosomal RNA
Source: RNAcentral
AGAAUCAACGCUGGCGGCGUGCCUAACACAUGCAAGUCGUACGCGAAAGGGGCUUCGGCCCUGAGUAGAGUGGCAAACGGGUGAGUAACGCGUGGGUGACCUGCCUUCGAGCGGGGGAUAACGUUCCGAAAGGGACGCUAAUACCGCAUGACAUCCUGUCUUUAGACAGACGGAGAUCAAAGCCGGGGAUCGUAAGACCUGGCACUCGAAGAGGGGCCCGCGUCCGAUUAGCUAGUUGGUGGGGUAACGCUCACCAAGGCUCCGAUCGGUA